GAUGAACGCUAGCUACAGGCUUAACACAUGCAAGUCGAGGGGAAACGACAUCGCAAGCUUGCUUUUGAUGGGCGUCGACCGGCGCACGGGUGAGUGACGCGUAUCCAACCUGCCCACCACUUGGGGAUAACCUUGCGAAAGUAAGACUAAUACCCAAUGAUAUCCCACGAAGACAUCUGAAUGGGAUUAAAGAUUUAUCGGUGAUGGAUGGGGAUGCGUCUGAUUAGCUUGUUGGCGGGGUAACGGCCCACCAAGGCAACGAUCAGUAGGGGUUCUGAGAGGAAGGUCCCCCACAUUGGAACUGAGACACGGUCCAAACUCCUACGGGAGGCAGCAGUGAGGAAUAUUGGUCAAUGGGCGAGAGCCUGAACCAGCCAAGUAGCGUGCAGGAAGACGGCCCUAUGGGUUGUAAACUGCUUUUAUAAGGGAAUAAAGUGGGUCACGUGUGACUUUUUGCAUGUACCUUAUGAAUAAGGACCGGCUAAUUCCGUG
RNAcentral lists this ribosomal RNA (492 nucleotides) under uncultured bacterium. Its description in RNAcentral is "partial 16S ribosomal RNA". It matches the Rfam family "Bacterial small subunit ribosomal RNA", at positions 28 to 507 of the family's 1533-position model. The record is from RNAcentral.